Molecule: long non-coding RNA, 240 nt
Filed under: Microcebus murinus (gray mouse lemur)
Lineage: Eukaryota; Metazoa; Chordata; Mammalia; Primates; Cheirogaleidae
Description: lncRNA (ENSMICG00000048182.1)
Source: RNAcentral
AUUUUCUUUAUCAUUUUAGGAAACUGUAUAAUACUGGUUUGAUCCUGGGCAAGAAUGCAAAAUUCAUUCCUACAACUCAUUGAGUCAGUCCAAGGCAACAGGAAUAAAAGCAACAUCACCAAAAUGACAAUAACCAACAUUCAGGUAAAUGAGUUUUUCCAAAUGAAUCAGUAUGCUUCUUUUGAUAAGACAAUACAUGAAUCUCAUAGAAGUCUGAAAGAUGAUGAACAAAUUUUCUAA